GGAUGCGAUCACACCAGCACUAACGUACCGGAUCCCAUCAGAACUUCAAAGUGAAGCGUGCUUGGGCUAGAGUUGCACUAGGAUGGGCGACCCCUGGGAAGUCCUCAUGUUGCAUCCC
This 118-nucleotide ribosomal RNA is filed under the name Nicotiana sylvestris (wood tobacco). The record is from RNAcentral. Lineage: Eukaryota; Viridiplantae; Streptophyta; Magnoliopsida; Solanales; Solanaceae.